AUACAAAAUAAAGAUCAUGUGCCCAUGGCUGGUUAGCCAUUUUUAGUCAUCCCCCACUCACCACCAUCACUGCUGAUUCUACAUCAGAGAGGAGGAGCCUCCAAAGCCCAGGUCCUUUAUCCUCUGUCUCCAGAAAGUACGUAAUGACAGGAAGUCAGUGGGCUCUUGGGAUAUGUAGUUCUUUUAUUAGGGUAAAAGAUUUUUAAUCAUACACCUGCCCCAGUCCUCUCUUGGGGAAGAGGAUCUCUUUGUAUUUUUCCUAAAGCCGCUGACUCUCCCAUCUGGGUUCCGGAGCAGCUUGUCUGACUUCACCAUGACUCUAACCCCCAGCUGCUGCAAUCACCUUGUUUGAUUUCUCUUCACAAAAUAUAAAAGCUCCCUGAGGAAGCUAUGGAUCUCAUUGAAGAUUCUGCAUAGAAUUCUGGGAUCUGAUGAUAUCACCACCGUGUCACCUAUGAACAAGAGGAUCUGGAGGACUUCAUUUAAGAAUCCAUUUUCCAUUCAAACUUUCCUUGAGAUAUCCUUCCUGGUGAGUAUAUGCUUCUCUGUUUGAUGCUUUAUAUAUAUAAUGAUCCUAAUAAGUGUAUGGGAAAUGAGCCGUGCUCCAGAUUACACAUUUAAGUAAGUAUUUGCCAGACAUUAUAGUAAAGGUUGAGCAUACAAAGAUAAAAGUAAAACAGAUCCUAUUCUCAAAGAAUGUAAAUCCUAUUGGGGGAAAUACUACUGAAGCAAAUAAAUUGAUACAAAAUGUAUAGAAAAUAAUUUCA
RNAcentral lists this long non-coding RNA (767 nucleotides) under Monodelphis domestica (gray short-tailed opossum). RNAcentral's name for it is "lncRNA (ENSMODG00000043761.1)". Lineage: Eukaryota; Metazoa; Chordata; Mammalia; Didelphimorphia; Didelphidae. The record is from RNAcentral.